This 1373-nucleotide ribosomal RNA is filed under the name uncultured prokaryote. Its description in RNAcentral is "partial 16S ribosomal RNA". It matches the Rfam family "Bacterial small subunit ribosomal RNA", at positions 27 to 1394 of the family's 1533-position model. The record is from RNAcentral.
GAUUGAACGCUAGCGGCAUGCUUAACACAUGCAAGUCGAACGGCAGCGCGAGGAGCUUGCUCCUUGGCGGCGAGUGGCGGACGGGUGAGUAACGCGUAGGAAUCUACCUUAUAGUGGGGGAUAACUCGAGGAAACUCGAGGUAAUACCGCAUAAUCUCUAUGGAGCAAAGCGGGGGAUCUUCGGACCUCGUGCUAUUAGAUGAGCCUGCGUCGGAUUAGCUUGUUGGUGGGGUAAAGGCCUACCAAGGCGACGAUCCGUAGCUGGUCUGAGAGGACGAUCAGCCACACUGGGACUGAGACACGGCCCAGACUCCUACGGGAGGCAGCAGUGGGGAAUAUUGGACAAUGGGGGAAACCCUGAUCCAGCAAUGCCGCGUGUGUGAAGAAGGCCUUAGGGUUGUAAAGCACUUUCAGCGGGGAAGAAAGGCUUAAGUUUAAUAGACUUGAGAGUUGACGUUACCCGAAGAAGAAGCACUGGCUAACUCUGUGCCAGCAGCCGCGGUAAUACAGAGAGUGCGAGCGUUAAUCGGAAUUACUGGGCGUAAAGCGUGCGUAGGUGGAUAUUUAGUCGGAUGUGAAAGCCCUGGGCUUAACCUGGGAACUGCAUUCGAUACUGGACAUCUAGAGUAUAGUAGAGGGAAGUUGGAAUUUCCGGUGUAGCGGUGAAAUGCGUAGAUAUCGGAAGGAACACCAGUGGCGAAGGCGACUUCCUGGACUAAUACUGACACUGAGGGGCGAAAGCGUGGGGAGCGAACAGGAUUAGAUCCCUGGUAGUCCACGCCGUCAACGAUGAGAACUAGCUGUUGGGAGGGUUACCUCUUAGUGUCGAAGCUAACGCGUUAAGUUCUCCGCCUGGGGAGUACGGCCGCAAGGUUAAAACUUAAAGGAAUUGACGGGGGCCCGCACAAGCGGUGGAGCAUGUGGUUUAAUUCGAUGCAACGCGAAGAACCUUACCUACUCUUGACAUCCUUGGAAUCCUCUAGAGAUAGAGGAGUGCCUUCGGGAGCCAAGAGACAGGUGCUGCAUGGCUGUCGUCAGCUCGUGUCGUGAGAUGUUGGGUUAAGUCCCGUAACGAGCGCAACCCUUAUCCUUAGUUACCAGCGGUUCGGCCGGGAACUCUAAGGAGACUGCCGGUGAUAAACCGGAGGAAGGUGGGGAUGAUGUCAAGUCAGCAUGGCCCUUAUGGGUAGGGCUACACACGUGCUACAAUGGCCGGUACAAAGGGUUGCCAAGCCGCGAGGUGGAGCUAAUCCCAGAAAGCUGCUCGUAGUCCGGAUUGGAGUCUGCAACUCGACUCCAUGAAGUCGGAAUCGCUAGUAAUCGUGAAUCAGCAUGUCACGGUGAAUACGUUCCCGGGCCUUGUACACACCGCC